RNAcentral lists this unclassified non-coding RNA (1521 nucleotides) under Hevea brasiliensis (rubber tree). Lineage: Eukaryota; Viridiplantae; Streptophyta; Magnoliopsida; Malpighiales; Euphorbiaceae. The record is from RNAcentral.
CUCUUUACUUCCUAGAACUAAAGGUGGGCCUGUAAUUCCCACCAAACUUCCUCCCAGACAAGCAAGGCUUGUUGUUUACAAUAAAAAGUCAAAUGAAACAAGCAUAUGGAUUGUUGAGCUAUCACAAGUGCAUGCUGCAACUCGAGGUGGCCACCACAGAGGCAAAGUCAUUUCAUCCAAAGUUGUUCCAAACGUUCAGCCUCCUAUGGAUGCUAUGGAAUAUGCUGAAUGUGAAGCUGUAGUGAAAGCAUUCCCUCCAUUCCAGGAGGCAAUGAAAAAGAGGGGUAUUGAGGAUAUGGAUCUUGUAAUGGUGGACCCCUGGUGUGUUGGAUAUCACAGUGAAGCUGAUGCUCCUAGCCGCAGGCUUGCUAAACCUCUUAUCUUCUGCAGAACCGAGAGUGACUGUCCAAUUGAAAAUGGUUAUGCUCGUCCAGUUGAAGGAAUCCACGUUCUUGUUGAUAUGCAAAACAUGGUAGUGAUUGAAUUUGAUGACCGUAAACUUGUUCCCCUACCACCAGCUGAUCCCUUAAGAAAUUAUACUCCUGGUGAAUCUCGAGGAGGUGUUGAUAGAAGUGAUGUGAAACCUCUACAGAUCAUUCAGCCUGAAGGCCCAAGCUUUCGUGUUAAUGGACACUUUGUUCAGUGGCAGAAGUGGAAUUUUCGUAUUGGUUUCACGCCCAGAGAGGGUUUAGUUAUCUAUUCUGUUGCAUAUGUUGAUGGUAGUCGAGGUCGGAGACCUGUGGCCCACAGGUUAAGUUUUGUUGAGAUGGUGGUUCCCUAUGGAGAUCCAAAUGAUCCGCAUUAUAGGAAAAAUGCAUUUGAUGCAGGGGAAGACGGCUUGGGUAAAAAUUCACAUUCUCUUAAGAAGAAUUGUGAUUGUUUGGGCUUCAUCAAGUACUUUGAUGCACACUUCACAAAUUUCACUGGAGGUGUUGAAACAAUUGAGAACUGUGUUUGUUUGCAUGAAGAGGAUCAUGGUAUCUUAUGGAAGCAUCAGGAUUGGAGAACAGGAUUACCAGAAGUCCGACGUUCUAGAAGGCUGUCAGUUUCUUUUAUAUGCACUGUGGCUAAUUAUGAGUAUGGAUUUUUCUGGCAUUUUUAUCAGGAUGGGAAAAUUGAAGCUGAGGUUAAACUCACUGGAAUUCUUAGCUUAGGAGCACUGCAACCUGGGGAAAUACGGAAAUAUGGUACAACAAUUGCUCCUGGAUUAUAUGCACCUGUCCAUCAACACUUUUUUGUGGCACGUAUGGAUAUGGCAGUUGAUUGUAAGCCUGGCGAAACAUUCAAUCAGGUUGUUGAGGUGAAUGUAAAAGUUGAAGAGCCAGGAAAGGAUAAUGUGCAUAAUAAUGCAUUCUAUGCUGAAGAGGAACUGCUCAGAUCUGAAUUGCAAGCAAUGCGUGAUUGCAAUCCAUUAACUGCUCGCCAUUGGAUUAUCAGGAACACAAGAACUGUCAACCGGACUGGGCAGCUUACAGGUUACAAGUUAGUACCUGGUUCAAAUUGUUUACCACUGGCUGGUUC